Molecule: long non-coding RNA, 800 nt
Organism: Suricata suricatta (meerkat)
Lineage: Eukaryota; Metazoa; Chordata; Mammalia; Carnivora; Herpestidae
Exons: 5
Source: RefSeq, a predicted model, not a curated record
GGGACAAGGGAGGGAGCGAGGACGAGAGGGAAGGAGAAGAGGGGAAAAAAAGUAUUGGGAGAUGCAAAGGGUAGCGGGGCUUCCUCAGUGGAUCCCGAGUUACAGUGGUUUCCCCAGAUCCUUGCCAAGAGAUCUGACUACGCUUUCAGGGAGUGAUUGGAGGUCCUCAGAGUGGUGGUGAACCCCGUGUGGAAAUCUCAGAGCUGCCCAGUCAAGCUGCCCAGGGCCCCGUGCCUGGAGGACCGUGUGCACCUGGGCUGCCAAGUGAAGCGUAUCCUGAACAUUACCUCAUCUUCCUUAGGAUCGUCUCCCUUUGGAGCCUGGCGGUGGAUGCAGGGAACACAACCUCUCCAGAGCUACUUGAGGCCCAUUAGGAAUGCCUUACAGACUUUGGGCCAGCCCUUUCCUCCAGUGUCUCUCAGCUUUUCACGUUCUAGUUCUCAGAAGAUGUGCUUCAAAACCACAGGUCUGUUUCAUCCUAGUCAGUGUUGCAGAUGUUUCUCAAGCCUUGCAACAUAAAGAGUGUAUCUCUGACUUUGUCCUGAUGGGAAGCAUUGGAAGAGAACCACGAAAGCUAUGGAGAAGAAAGAUAUCGAAGACGUUCAUUCUAGUCGCUAAAGAUGAAGAAAAGCCUGAUGCAGAGAGGUAGAAAUUCCAAAGGGGUUUAGAGAGAUGCAUCUCAUUACCUCUGGUGUCUGUAUGAACUAUAAAGAUGAAUCUGAAACAAUCAAUGUGAGGCACCUGGAUGGCAACUAGCUCUUGAUAAUGGCUCAGGUUGUGAUCUUUUGGUUUGUGAGAUC